UCAGAGGGAGGUAGAANUUCCACGUGUAGCAGUGAAAUGCGUAGAGAUGUGGAGGAAUACCGAUGGCGAAGGCAGCCUCCUGGGAUAACACUGACGUUCAUGCCCGAAAGCGUGGGUAGCAAACAGGAUUAGAUACCCUGGUAGUNCACGCCCUAAACGAUGUCGAUUAGCUGUUGGGCAGCAUGACUGCUUAGUAGCGAAGCUAACGCGUGAAAUCGACCGCCUGGGGAGUACGGUCGCAAGAUUAAAACUCAAAGGAAUUGACGGGGACCCGCACAAGCGGUGGAUGAUGUGGAUUAAUUCGAUGCAACGCGAAGAACCUUACCUGGUCUUGACAUGUACGGAACCCUCCAGAGACGGAGGGGUGCCUUCGGGAGCCGUAACACAGGUGCUGCAUGGCUGUCGUCAGCUCGUGUCGUGAGAUGUUGGGUUAAGUCCCGCAACGAGCGCAACCCUUGUCAUUAGUUGCCAUCAUUAAGUUGGGCACUCUAAUGAGACUGCCGGUGACAAGCCGGAGGAAGGUGGGGAUGACGUCAAGUCCUCAUGGCCCUUAUGACCAGGGCUUCACACGUCAUACAAUGGUCGGUACAGAGGGUAGCCAAGCCGCGAGGUGGAGCCAAUCUCACAAAACCGAUCGUAGUCCGGAUUGCACUCUGCAACUCGAGUGCAUGAAGUCGGAAUCGCUAGUAAUCGCAGGUCAGCAUACUGCGGUGAAUACGUUCCCGGGUCUUGUACACACCGCCCGUCACACCAUGGGAGUGGGGGAUACCAGAAGUAGGUAGGGU
This 785-nucleotide ribosomal RNA is filed under the name uncultured bacterium. RNAcentral describes it as "bacterial SSU rRNA". It matches the Rfam family "Bacterial small subunit ribosomal RNA", at positions 651 to 1436 of the family's 1533-position model. The record is from RNAcentral.